AAGGCUUUAAGUUAAUAUAAACUAAUGGCCUUCAAAGCUAAAAAUAUUAGAAACAUCUUUUAAGCUUUA
Molecule: transfer RNA, 69 nt
Filed under: Dialysis sp. KW-2016
Lineage: Eukaryota; Metazoa; Arthropoda; Insecta; Diptera; Xylophagidae
Description: tRNA-Trp
Rfam family: tRNA
About the family: Transfer RNA (tRNA) molecules are approximately 80 nucleotides in length.
Source: RNAcentral